AUCGACUGUCUUCUUUAUUAAUAACAAAGAUUAACGUUUGCAAGAUUUAUCUUGCUUAGAAUUUCAUUUACAUUUCAGUUUAUUUAUCAUGUAUAGUUUUGAAUCAUAUCCUGUGCACGUUACGUUACAUCAUAGUAUCAUCCAUUGAAUGUACGUGUUUUUAAGACCUAACUGGUACUCGUUUACAAAUUCAGUUUGUUGAAAGCCAUUGCUUGAAAGCUUCAACGAAGCUUUGAGGUUUCCAAUUAAAUUUAUUUAUUUCCAAUUUCUCUAGUAUAGUAUCCAGUCGGUCUCAGUUAUGGUAUUCUAUACAGUUACACGAUUGUCGAUCAGACAACAAUUAAUUAACUUGAACGCCGAUAUUAAAGAAUGCUUUAUCGUUCGUCCAGAAUUCAUUGCUUUUGCUAUUCUUUUUUCCAAUAAAUAUACAUGAAUAAUUCUCGCAACUGCUCCCUUCUUUGCGGCCAGCGAUACGUAUAGGCGGAGCUGAGGGGAUGGUUUUCCAGCGUGCGUGAAAACACAGGGGAGGAAAUAAUUGUUGAGCAUCGUAUCGCCUCGCCAGGCCGAAGCUAAUAUUGGAUUAGUUUUUAAUUCGAGCCGCCCCUCCAAUUUCGUCUGUAAAAUACACGCGAAAUAACGCACGCGUACGAUU
This 652-nucleotide unclassified non-coding RNA is filed under the name Bombus terrestris (buff-tailed bumblebee). Its description in RNAcentral is "misc RNA ENSBTSG00005029318.1". The record is from RNAcentral. Lineage: Eukaryota; Metazoa; Arthropoda; Insecta; Hymenoptera; Apidae.